UUUUUCUCAGGCUACCAAGAAUUCCUGGAAAUUGGAACGAAACAGAAAAGAUUAGCAUGGGUCCUGCGCAAGGAUGACACGCAAAAUGGAGCCCCAUGCCAUUCCU
Molecule: small nuclear RNA, 106 nt
Organism: Uranotaenia lowii
Lineage: Eukaryota; Metazoa; Arthropoda; Insecta; Diptera; Culicidae
Source: RefSeq, a predicted model, not a curated record